GAUGAACGCUAGCGGCAGGCCUAACACUGCAAGUCGAGGGAGAAGCCCUUCGGGGCAGAAACCGGCGCACGGGUGCGUAACGCGUAUGCAACCUACCUUUCACAGGGGGAUAGCCCGAAGAAAUUUGGAUUAAUACCCCAUAAUAUUAUUGGGUGGCAUCAUUUGAUAAUUAAAAUUACGAUGGUGAAAGAUGGGCAUGCGUCCUAUUAGCUAGUUGGAGUGGUAACGGCACCCCAAGGCUACGAUAGGUAGGGGUCCUGAGAGGGAGAUCCCCCACACUGGUACUGAGACAGGGACCAGACUCCUACGGGAGGCAGCAGUGAGGAAUAUUGGUCAAUGGUCGGAAGACUGAACCAGCCAUGCCGCGUGCAGGAAGAAUGCCUUAUGGGUUGUAAACUGCUUUUAUAUGGGAAGAAUAAGGAGUACGUGUACUUUGAUGACGGUACCAUAUGAAUAAAGC
RNAcentral lists this ribosomal RNA (460 nucleotides) under Capnocytophaga granulosa. RNAcentral's name for it is "bacterial SSU rRNA". It matches the Rfam family "Bacterial small subunit ribosomal RNA", at positions 28 to 492 of the family's 1533-position model. Lineage: Bacteria; Pseudomonadati; Bacteroidota; Flavobacteriia; Flavobacteriales; Flavobacteriaceae. The record is from RNAcentral.